RNAcentral lists this ribosomal RNA (253 nucleotides) under uncultured bacterium. RNAcentral's name for it is "partial 16S ribosomal RNA". It matches the Rfam family "Bacterial small subunit ribosomal RNA", at positions 524 to 776 of the family's 1533-position model. The record is from RNAcentral.
UACGAAGGGUGCAAGCGUUAAUCGGAAUUACUGGGCGUAAAGCGUGCGUAGGCGGUGAGUUAAGUCUGUCGUGAAAUCCCCGGGCUCAACCUGGGAAUGGCGAUGGAUACUGGCUCGCUAGAGUGUGAUAGAGGAUGGUGGAAUUCCCGGUGUAGCGGUGAAAUGCGUAGAGAUCGGGAGGAACAUCAGUGGCGAAGGCGGCCAUCUGGAUCAACACUGACGCUGAGGCGCGAAAGCUAGGGGAGCAAACGGG